RNAcentral lists this ribosomal RNA (460 nucleotides) under uncultured bacterium. Its description in RNAcentral is "partial 16S ribosomal RNA". It matches the Rfam family "Bacterial small subunit ribosomal RNA", at positions 338 to 795 of the family's 1533-position model. The record is from RNAcentral.
CCUACGGGAGGCAGCAGUGAGGAAUAUUGGUCAAUGGCCGUAAGGCUGAACCAGCCAAGUCGCGUGAAGGAAGAAGGAUCCAUGGUUUGUAAACUUCUUUUAUAGGGGAAUAAAGGUAUCCACGAGUGGCUAUUUGCAUGUACCCUAUGAAUAAGCAUCGGCUAACUCCGUGCCAGCAGCCGCGGUAAUACGGAGGAUGCGAGCGUUAUCCGGAUUUAUUGGGUUUAAAGGGUGCGUAGGUUGUUUUUUAAGUCAGCGGUGAAAGUUUGGGGCUCAACCAUAAAAUUGCCGUUGAAACUGGAAGACUUGAGUGGGUGUGAGGUAGGCGGAAUGCGUGGUGUAGCGGUGAAAUGCAUAGAUAUCGCGCAGAACUCCGAUUGCGAAGGCAGCAUACUGGGCCAUAACUGACACUGAGGCACGAAAGCGUGGGGAUCGAACAGGAGUAGAUACCCCUGUAGUC